Molecule: long non-coding RNA, 851 nt
Organism: Scylla paramamosain (green mud crab)
Lineage: Eukaryota; Metazoa; Arthropoda; Malacostraca; Decapoda; Portunidae
Exons: 3
Source: RefSeq, a predicted model, not a curated record
UAGUAUAAAAAAAGUGCGUAAGUACUCCGUGACAGUAUAGAAAAAAAAAAAAGAUAAAUAAAGAUGAUAUUAACGCGAUAAAUUAUAUCUGGAGGAUUUAUUUAGAGGCGGAAUUCGUUUAUUAGCGAACGUUUUCAGCGGGUAGUAAGAAAACGUGGAGAGGCGCCGCGAGCCAAUGAGCGGCGCGGGAGAGGAAAACACGGGUGGCGGCUUCUCUCUGACCUUCCCUCUCACUUAGUUGUCGCUUAGACAUCGUGGCAAGAGGGUGGAGUGCGCGGCCACCGACUUGAAUUGAUCGGCGCGUGGAAUUGUACCCAGCCAGUGAAUGCAGUGCAGGAUGAGUUGUGGGCUAUAAGGCGUGUUGGAUGCCAUUGCGUGGUGGACGGAGUACAGCAUGUUCCGUCACCGCCGCCUGGAGUUCCCGUGCCGCGUGGAGGGCUGGCUUCAUAUCUGUGGUGAGUGAUGCAGUGCUGGCUUCUUGGUGAGGAAAAGUGACUGUGUCCGUGAAUCGAGCCCCGUGCUGGAUGUGGAUGUGCUGACAGCACGUGUCAUCCUUGUGGUCCAAAGACAACGGUGGUUCGCGUGCUGGCUGUCACUACUUCCGCAGAGACGCGUCCGCCGAGGAUGAUCCAUCGCAUGCAUACAGAAACUAAACUUUGGCUUAGGGAAUGAAGACCUUUGAAAUGUACACACCAAUUUGGCCAUGUGAAACAGCGUUGUCUGUCAUAAUACCACAUAUUUAGUGUAACUUGUACAAUUAAUCAAUUUAUUUAAUACUUUCGAAACUUUGAGAAAUGUUAAAUCUCAUCUUGUUGGAAAUAAUGUUUUACUAAUUAUAUUAAUACAUUAUC